UCUGCUACUUUUAAUAUAUAUAUAUAUAAGGAAACUAUGGAUUGCUUUAUGUUUUUUGCUUUGAACAAGAAGUAUGAUCAAGGAUGACGCCAUGCGUUACGAUCAGUGAUGAUGGCAUGCGCUUGAUGUGCUGCUUUCAUCACUCCUCGGUAUAUAUUUAUAUAAGUUUGAUGAUAAUGAAACUAUGGAUUGUUUUAUGAGAUUAUCUAUUUUCUGCUCUAAACAAGUAUUGUUCGUUUCAAAUUUGUUUUGGUUGUCUCGUCUGAUCAAUUACACAAGUGAUUUCAACGCGCCACAGAAACGCCAUCUAUUGUCUGCCCUAAACAGGUAUUGUUGACUGGUUUCAAAUUUGUUUUGUUGUCCCGUCUGAUCAAUUACGCAAGUGAUUACAACGCGCCAUAGAAACGCCUGGUAUUAAAAAAAUACGUGCUUUUCUAUAUAUAUAUAUAAUGGGAGCUGUGAGCCUUUCCUCGGCAGCUGGAGUUGGAGACGGGAGUGCUUCCUCCGGAGAUCUGAGGGUUUCCUUGUUCAGUUGAAUUUCUUCCAAAAAUUUGAGCAGGAAAGGUAGAUCCAUCAAGGAAAAGGUGAUGCUGGCCGUGAAUUGGAGGCGGCGUCCAUCUUUCCCCUCUCUCAACAUGUAUACAGACGACUCAUGACAGGUCGUGGCAGGUUGCCUGAAGUGACCCAGGAAAGUCCUGUCGAGCAUGCUUUUGGGAAAAUGAAUAAUGAUUGUCUGCGAAACGCGGUCAAGACUCUUAUUUGAGACGCUAACCACUGAGUCCAAGCAAGACAUUCCGACAGGGGAGGUGUGUUUCGCAUGUCAGUCCCAUGGUUGUCCUAAUAGAGGGUUGGACGUGUCACGUGUCAGUCCAGGUGUGCAUCCGGACAAAGGGUUAGAUGUGCCACAUAUUCAAAGGAGAAGUGCUUUGUGAGGUCGCCAUAUGUACGCUUAGGGGUGGUCCAGUAUGUUGCUGCUUGAUGUGAUUCAUGGUAUUUUUGUUCUCAUAUUGAAACUGUCCAGGUCGAUUACUUUACACCUUUAUAAUUCUGUACCUGGUCUAGAAUCUAGAUGCAGAGUUGGGUAUAGAUUUUUCUUUUCUUUUAGUCUUUUCCGACCUACUCCUUUCCUACGCCUGGUAAUCUGGUAUGGAAUGGGUCUGAAUCAUUUCAAAAUGAUGAAAUAUGUAAAAAGAUUACCAGUAAACAAAGGCUAAAUAUAUAUUGGAAUUCAAA
Molecule: long non-coding RNA, 1233 nt
Organism: Vitis vinifera (wine grape)
Lineage: Eukaryota; Viridiplantae; Streptophyta; Magnoliopsida; Vitales; Vitaceae
Exons: 2
Source: RefSeq, a predicted model, not a curated record